CCUACGGGAGGCAGCAGUAGGGAAUCUUCCGCAAUGGACGAAAGUCUGACGGAGCAACGCCGCGUGAACGAUGAAGGCCUUCGGGUCGUAAAGUUCUGUUGUUAGGGAAGAACAAGUGCUAGUUAAAUAAGCUGGCACCUUGACGGUACCUAACCAGAAAGCCACGGCUAACUACGUGCCAGCAGCCGCGGUAAUACGUAGGUGGCAAGCGUUGUCCGGAAUUAUUGGGCGUAAAGCGCGCGCAGGCGGUUUCUUAAGUCUGAUGUGAAAGCCCCCGGCUCAACCGGGGAGGGUCAUUGGAAACUGGGAAACUUGAGUGCAGAAGAGGAAAGUGGAAUUCCAAGUGUAGCGGUGAAAUGCGUAGAGAUUUGGAGGAACACCAGUGGCGAAGGCGACUUUCUGGUCUGUAACUGACGCUGAGGCGCGAAAGCGUGGGGAGCAAACAGGAUUAGAUACCCUGGUAGUCCACGCUGUAAACGAUGAGUGCUAAGUGUUAGAGGGUUUCCGCCCUUUAGUACUGAAGUUAACGCAUUAAGCAUCCGCCUGGGGGAGGUAGGUCGCGAAGACGAGAAACGACAAAGGAAAGUUAGUUAGGCGUGAGAGUGCCGACGGACGACGACGAGGGAGGAGG
RNAcentral lists this ribosomal RNA (631 nucleotides) under uncultured bacterium. RNAcentral's name for it is "bacterial SSU rRNA". The stretch from base 1 to 544 matches the Rfam family "Bacterial small subunit ribosomal RNA", at positions 338 to 873 of the family's 1533-position model. The record is from RNAcentral.